UAUUAUUUUUUCUGUCGCAGAUCAAUCAACCUACUCACUUGGAGAAUACUAUUAAUGGUUAACUGUCGGGGAUCAACAAACUUCAAGGAAGGGAAGUCAACAGGACUACUAUUUAACUUGGGAUCAUUAGAAGCCAAUCAAGGAUGCAGAAUCAAUCGGGUGCAGCUACAACUCUAAUCGAUAAUUAUACUUAGAAUGAUUAAUUAAUUAUUCGAAAAGAAGAAGAUGAAGAAACAAGAAGAAAAAGAAGAAAAAAAAAGAAGAAGAAGAAGAAGAAUACUCUAGAAUUCAAAGAAGAUAAUAGAAAUGAUCUAGAUGAUAAUCAAGAAUAUUAACAGAGACUAUUCCAGAUCAAGUGAAUUAUUUAAUAUUUCGAAUAAUAAUUUAUCUGAAAGUAUUAUGGGGACAUUUAUUUAACGGGAAAGCUAUGAAUUUAAUCAUGCUCAAUGACCGAUCUCUUUUGUCGUUGUUGUUAUUAUUGUUGUUGUUGUUAUCGUCAUCGUUAAUGUUACAUUAGACUGAAAAUAAUUUUCAUUUUCAAGAAAAAAAAUACCGAAAAUUAAUAAUCGUGAAAACAACAUGUAUUGACAAUGGUGUGGAUGCUUGAAAAUAAUCAAAGACAAUAAUCUGUUAGAAAAAAAAUCACAGAGGCAUCGCGAUAAUACAAUUUUUAAUUGAAUAAUCAUAUCUAGUCGAUACGCAAAUCGAAGUUAACUGAUACGAAUUGAUGAAAAAAAAUUACAUCGAAAAAUAAAGGAAUAAAUAUCUGAAGAAUCGUUGACCAUACGAAAAGAAAAAAUAUAUGGUUCACUAAUAAAAAUAAAAUAAAACCAAAUUCCAAAGUAAUAUCAAAAGAGAAUCAAAGAAACUAACAUAGCAAAAAUAAAAAAAAAUAAAAUGGAAGCUAAUAGAUCCAACUUUGCAGUUUCUAACAUUAAUAACGCGAAUAUCGAAUAUCAAAUAUAAUUCAAAUAAAUAAAAAUAAUUGAAGAUAAUCGAUGAUAAUCCAGGAAGAAAGACGAAAUUCAAAAAAUCAAUUGUACCUUAUGAAGAAAAAAAUCAAAAGAAAAAGAAAUAAUCGUAUAACAAACUAUAUUGAUGAAAAAAUAUCCAUCGAAAUAUCUAUCGAAAAAACAUUUAUCGAUACAUCAUCUAAUCAAAAUAUCUUACGAACAAAAAUGAUACAAAAGAUAGAAAAGAAAAAUAUUUAUCGAAAUAUCUAUAAAAACAAAUGAAAGAAAAUAAAACACCCCAAAGAAGAUAAACGCAAAUAUCUAAUAAAAUUUCAACGUAGAAAUAUAUAAGAAAUGAUAGUUGAAAAAAAAAACUGAACAAAAAUCAACGCUGCAUUCGUAGAGAAGAAAAGUAACACAAAAGCAACAAAAAGAAAAAAAUCCCCAAAAAAAAUACAGAAAAAGAAACGGGACUCUUUUCAGACCCUAAUUCUUCGUUACAUUUAUUAAAUGAUCUUUAAUGAUCAGGAAAAAAGAACUAAAAUAAAUCGUAAUCAUACGUGCGAACAAAAAAAAAUAUCAGAUAUUUUCGUAGAGGAAGGUACAUCUCGUACCUUGAAAACAGUCAAAGAAGAAGUUCGAUGAAACCACUUUGAAGCAUCACUUCGUGACACAUCGUUAGUAAUAACAAUUCAAAUAUUUCACAGCAGUUGCUCGGAAAAAAGGAAAAACAAAGAAAACACGAGAAAUAAAAUUGAUCGUUUGAUGAUCCAAGUCGAAGUCGAUAAAAACGAUGAUCUUAACUCAGGUGAUCUAAAACUUGAGAUAAAACCAUUUGAAGAAGCAGAAUUACUCUCACUCAUGCAAUAGAAUUUCGUUAAAUUUCUACACCUAUUAUUAUUUACAGAAAUAUUAACAAGGAUUCUUCACACACACAUACAUUUUCUUUAUAGAAGAAAAAAGCAAAAAAAAAAAAAGAAGGAAAGAAGAAGAAGAAGAAGAAAACGAACAAACCAAAAUGACAAAACUCAAAAGAGAAACAAAUCGACAAUUUUUUCUUCGUCUUCUAAUGAAAUAUAAUAUAUCAGGAAACGUUCACAUAUAUAUAUGUUUCUGAUCACGAGCCUCACAUAUUUAAUCGUCGUGUUUGAAUCGCGCUACAUUCAACGAAAGUAAAAAAAAGAAAAAAAAAAA
This 2147-nucleotide long non-coding RNA is filed under the name Polistes canadensis. RNAcentral's name for it is "uncharacterized LOC106784008". Lineage: Eukaryota; Metazoa; Arthropoda; Insecta; Hymenoptera; Vespidae. The record is from RNAcentral.